AUUGAACGCUGGCGGCAGGCCUAACACAUGCAAGUCGAACGCGUGGCGGACGGGUGAGUAAUGUCUGGGAAACUGCCCGAUGGAGGGGGAUAACUACUGGAAACGGUAGCUAAUACCGCAUACCAUCGGAGGUGCCCAGAGGGGAUUAGCUUGUAGGGGGGGUAAAGGCUCACCUAGGCGACGAUCCCUAGCUGGUCUGAGAGGAUGACAAGGGACACUGGAACUGAGACACGGUCGAGACGCUGACGGUAGGCAUGAGUGGGUAAUAUUGCACAAUGUGAGCAAGCCUGAUGCAUCCAUGCCGGGUGGAGGAAGAAGGCCUUCGGGUUGGAAAGUACUUUCAGCGGGGAGGCGUUACCCGCAGAAGAAGCACCGGCUAACUCCGUGCCAGCAGCCGCGGUAAUAC
Molecule: ribosomal RNA, 406 nt
Filed under: uncultured bacterium
Lineage: Bacteria
Description: partial 16S ribosomal RNA
Rfam family: Bacterial small subunit ribosomal RNA
Source: RNAcentral